UGUAGAUCGCCCAGCUAGAUGAGGUAUAGACCCUCUGUCUCUCUGUAGAUCGCCCAGCUAGAUGAGGUAUAGAUCCUCUGUCUCUCUGUAGAUAGCCCAGCUAGAUGAGGUAUUGACCCUCUCUGUCUCUCUGUAGAUAGCCCAGCUAGAUGAGGUAUUGACCCUCUCUGUCUCUCUGUAGAUAGCCCAGCUAGAUGAGGUAUUGACCCUCUCUGUCUCUCUGUAGAUAGCCCAGCUAGAUGAGGUAUAGACCCUCUGUCUCUCUGUAGAUAGCCCAGCUAGAUGAGGUAUAGACCCUCUGUCUCUCUGUAGAUCGCCCAGCUAGAUGAGGUAUAGACCCUCUCUGUCUCUCUGUAGAUCGCC
This is a long non-coding RNA of Oncorhynchus keta (chum salmon), 363 nucleotides long. RefSeq lists it as uncharacterized. The transcript has 3 exons. Lineage: Eukaryota; Metazoa; Chordata; Actinopteri; Salmoniformes; Salmonidae. The record is from RefSeq and is a predicted model, not a curated record.